RNAcentral lists this long non-coding RNA (8177 nucleotides) under Lactuca sativa (garden lettuce). RNAcentral's name for it is "long non-coding RNA (LSAT_LNC005352)". The record is from RNAcentral. Lineage: Eukaryota; Viridiplantae; Streptophyta; Magnoliopsida; Asterales; Asteraceae.
AUAAGUGCGGAAGUAAUAAUAAUAAUAAGGUCCCAACAAAAUAACUAGUAGCGAUGUCCCGAUGCUCCAUGUCAAGCCUUAGCCUCUUUAAUCUUAACACCUGAAAAGUUAUAAGGGAAAAACGUAAGCACGAAGCUUAGUGAAUUCAAACACAGACAUUGUACUAACAUUCAUAUUUACUAGCCCUAAUCUAUUUUCCAAUUAUAAUGAUAAAGACAAAGAACGAAUCAAUGUCUAUAUUACGAGAAGGACUUGUAGGUUUGAACCGCACCGGGAAGAUCCCGUAUCAUUUGGCCCUAAUCACCGCACCUCACGAAGAGUAUUACGUUGGUGAUCUUACCUACCCACCGCACCGGUAAAUCCGUAUCCUUUGGUGGUGUCCCCAUAUCCAUAAUUAGUUACAUACAGUGCACAUGUACGAAUUAAAACAAUACUUAUAUAGUAUAAAUUCAAAUAAUCACACACGAGCUAACUAGCAAACACAAUCAUCAAUACAAAGGUGUGAGAGAACUCACCUUGAGUGAGUAUUAAGGAUGGCUAACAAUCAAAUAAUGCUACCAAGCUUGAGCAAACUUCAAAACCUCGCCUAAGAAGGACUAAAGGUUAGAAACGAGAAGUAAUGAAGCUAUGAGUUGAGAAAAGAGUAAUCACAGCAAGGUCUCUAAAACAGACCUGCUGUUCAAAACGGAUUUACUCCAAAAUCUAAAACAGAAACAUAGCUUUAACUAAAUUUUAUAGGAAACUAUGAUUGCUCAGGAUUCCAUAACUAUAAAGAACUCAUUCUAACUCCAAAAGAUGAAUUAAAUAUGAAUUUUACAAAAUGGUGUAUCACUUCUGUCUCCAACAAUACAGUCAAGUGAUGUUGGCCAAUUCUACCCAACUUGUGAGUAGAAUUCGUCCAAAAGAAAAUUAAGAGAAGUAAAGGACAUACAAGUGAAAGUCUCAGAGUUGGAAUUGAAUGAAAAGCAUCUCUCAAACUCCAGAUAUAAAAUUCACAUUGUGGACAAUCACAGCACUAGCAAAAGCUGGUGACUGCCCACUGACCUGGAGUGUGGAUCCAUUCUAACCAAUUUAUAAUUGGAAAUAACACCCCAUAUUCUCCAGAUCUUAAAUUCAUAAUAUAAGGAACAUAUAGAAACUUGGAAUCACUCUGGAUCCUUUUCCAAGCCUUAGAAAUGAUGAAAACAAAAUGACAUAUCAGAACAGACCCGGAUCAGACCUAACAGCAAAGAUGCCAUUCUUUCACAUAGAUAAAGCCCUUAUCAGUGAGGUUGGCCUUCUUAAGAAAGUUAGCCAACUCAAUUUGUGAACUUUUGGAACUGGUUUGGGGUCCGUUUGAGUUCUAGAGCUCCAGAUAUGAUUUUUACAAAAUGACUACAGAUCUGAUGGAAAACAGAAUCGUAGCCACCCGUGAUUCCUUUUUGGCUUAUCCAUCCUUCUCCUUUUGAAACACAUUUUAAGAUGUGUUCAUCAUCCCAAUUCAGUCCCCAUGAUAAUGGUGGUACUAAAAAGGGUUAGGGAUCAUUAGGAUUUCAUUUAGCCACAAGGAUGUAAUAAUAAUCAACAUGAAAAUAAACAUAAGCACAUAAAAUCAUCAUUCUCCCUUUUAGGGUUUCCAUGAUCUUUUGCCACAUGUAAUCCCCUAGAUCCAUCAUCCACCAUAUAUGGGGUGAAGAUAGGAUCUUGAGAUGAUGUAUAACAUACAAUUACAAAUAAAAUAAGAAGGAGAAGAGGUGAAGAUGAAAUCAUAAAACUAGAACAAGGUUAUGAAUCAAGUUGUAAGAAAGGAUAAGGAGGUUCAUACCAAUACGAAUCAAGGCUGGAAAUGAACAAGAAUUAAGCUCCAAACAGCCCCUUGGCUGCUCUUGAUCCCAAAGAGAGAGAGAGGGACGAUUUUUGAGAGAGAGGGAGGGUUUAGAGUGUUUUCCUUGUGUGUGUUCCAAAUGAUUCAAUUUACACAUUAAGUACUAUUAACUAGAUGGACUUUGCAAAUAGGCCCAUAGCCCAUGGACUUCAAUAAAAGGAGUUUACAAGAUGAUCAAAAGAGUCCAAUAACAUAAGAAAUCAGACAUUGGUUAAAUAAAUUAACCCAAGGUUACAAGGAUAAUUAAAUUAAAAUAACCAAACGUACCGAGAAAACCCGGGGCGUUACAACUCUCCCCCACUAAGAACGGACUUCGUCCUCGAAGUCAACACCUAGAAACAGAUCCGGAUAAUGAGUCCGCAUCUCGCAUUCCGGUUCCCAAGUCCAUUCCGAACCCUUCCUAUGUUGCCAUUGCACCUUAACCAGGUUUAUAGUCUUGUUGCGGAGAGCUUUCGUCUUUCGUUCUAAAAUAGCGAUUGGUUUCUCAACAUAAUUGAGACGCUCGUCAAUUUGUAUGUCCUCCAGUGGUAUCACAGCGGUCUCAUCAACAACGCAUUUUCGUAACUGAGACACGUGGAACGUAUUAUGAAUUAGACUAAGCUCGUCAGGAAGCUCUAAACGGUAAGCCACCUUCCCCACACGAGCUAUGACCUUGUAGGGUCCAAUGAAUCGGGGUCCGAGCUUUCCCCGCUUCCGAAAUCGAAUCACACCUUUCCAGGGGGAGACUUUAAGCAACACAUAAUCUCCCACCUGGAACUCAAGAUUGGAGCGUCUUUUGUCGGCAUAACUUUUCUGACGACUGCUCGCUGUGACCAAAUGAUCCCGAAUCACUUGGAUUUUCUCCGUAGUCUGUAGCACGAUAUCGGUACUCCCAAGUACCCUCUGCCCAACCUCGCCCCAACAAACGGGCGUCCUGCACUUCCUCCCGUACAAGGCUUCAUACGGAGGCAUUUUAAUGCUCGAGUGAUAGCUGUUGUUAUAAGAAAACUCAGCUAGAUGUAGAUGGUCAUCCCAACUACCCCCAAAAUCAAUCGCACACGCCCUAAGCAUGUCCUCCAAGGUCUGAAUCGUCCGCUCACUCUGCCCGUCUGUCUGCGGAUGGAAGGCGGUACUAAAAUGUAAUCGUGUGCCCAAUUCCUCUUGAAACUUCCUCCAGAACCGAGAGGUAAAUCGGGUGUCUCGAUCGGAGAUGAUAGAAACGGGCACCCCAUGUAAUGAGACAAUCUCCCGAACAAAGAUCUCGGCUAAUUUCUCCGCCGAUGAGCUCUCCUUUAUAGCCAGAAAGUGAGCACUCUUAGUCAAACGAUCAACAAUCACCCAUAUCGUAUCUGAUCCUCGGGCAGUUCUAGGAAGUUUUGUAAUGAAGUCCAUGGUUAGAUGCUCCCAUUUCCAUUCAGGAAUCUCCAAUGGUUGCAACUUCCCAUGCGGUUUCUGGUGUUCCGCCUUGACCUUCCGACAGGUCAUACAUUCUUCCACAAAUCGAGCCACAUCAUUCUUCAUUCCAUGCCACCAGUAAGCCUCAUGAAGGUCCCGAUACAUUUUAGUAGCACCAGGAUGGAUAGAAAAUUUUGACUUAUGAGACUCAUCCAUUAGGGUUUUCCGAUUUCCCCCGGUAUAUGGAACCCAAACCCUACCGUAGCGAGUCAGCAAACCACGCCCGUCUCGUUCCAUCUUAGGCAACUCUUUCCCAAUCUUCUCACGCCUGAUGUUUUCCUCCAGUAUUGCCGUCUUUUGGGCGUCCCGGAUUAGAUCUAACAAAGACGACACCAUCGUGAUCCGGAGACACUUAGCUCGAAUUGGUUCGGCAGAUUGUUUACGACUAAGAGCAUCAGCUACCACAUUAGCUUUACCGGGGUGGUAGUGAAUUUCACAAUCAUAAUCUUUUACCACAUCCAACCAUCGGAUCUGCCUCAUAUUCAAAUCCCGCUGCUCGAACAAAUAUUUUAGACUCUUAUGGUCAGUGUAUAUGAUAAACUUCACUCCAUAGAGAUAGUGUCUCCAAAUCUUAAGAGCGAAAACAACAGCCCCAAGCUCCAAAUCAUGAGUGGGGUAGUUUCGUUCGUGGGGUUUCAGCUGUCGGGAGGCAUAGGCUAUCACCCUAUCUCGUUGCAUUAACACGGCACCAAGACCUUGAAGCGAUGCAUCACAGUAAACCACCAUAUCCUCAACCCCAUCAGGUAAGGCCAAAAUCGGAGCUUCACACAAUCGUUUCCUUAACUCAUCAAACGCCAGUUGCUGCUCCGGGCCCCAAACGAAUUUCAUUGAUUUCUUGGUCAAUCGGGUGAGUGGUAAGGCGAUUUUAGAGAAAUUUUCAAUGAACCUCCGGUAAUAACCGGCUAAACCCAAGAAACUGCGAAUUUCAGAAGGUGUUUUCGGAAUCUUCCAUUGUUUAACCGCAUCAACCUUGGCUUGAUCGACCUUGAUACCUUGUUUGUUUACCACAUGCCCCAAGAACUGAACUUCUUCCAACCAAAAUUCACAUUUUGAAAAUUUAGCAUAAAGCCUUUCUCUUGCCAGAGUUUCCAGAAUCUCCCGAAGGUGUUGCUGAUGCUCCUCUUUGCUCUUAGAAUAGACUAAGAUAUCAUCUAUGAACACUAUGACCGAACGGUCAAGCAUCAGGCUACACACCCGGUUCAUGAGAUCCAUGAACGCUGCGGGUGCAUUGGUGAGCCCAAAAGGCAUCACCACGAAUUCAAAGUGCCCAUAUCGAGUACGGAAUGCUGUUUUCUCAAUGUCUUCUUCACGAACACGCAUCUGAUGGUAACCGGAACGUAAAUCAAUCUUGGAAAACCAAGAUGCUCCCUGAAGCUGAUCGAAAAGAUCGUCAAUACGUGGCAACGGGUACCUAUUCUUUAUCGUGCGCUUGUUUAGCUCCCUAUAAUCAAUACACAUUCGCUGGGAUCCAUCUUUCUUCUUCACAAAGAGAAUAGGAGCACCCCAAGGCGAGCAGCUUGGCCGUAUAAACCCUUUAUCACUUAGUUCUUGAAGUUGAUCUUGGAGCUCUUUCAUUUCAGGUGGUGCCAAGCGGUAAGGAGAUUUCGCUACCGGAGUCGCACCUGGCACCAAAUCAAUGCGAAACUCCACUUGCCGAACAGGUGGCAAGCCAGGGAGUUCCUCCGGAAAGACAUCGCUGAAGUCGGAAACGAUAGGAACGUCGUCUAGUGCUAUAGCAGAAGAGCAAGAAGCCAUAGCCAGGCGGGGAAUGUCCCCCUGAAUAAUAAGUUCUCCACCUCUAGGGUUUCGAACACGAACUUGCUUCUUACGACAGUGGAUUUCCGCAUCAAACGCAUCAAGCCAAUCCAUGCCUACGAUAACGCAGAGCUCUCGCAUCGCAAUAGGGAUAAGAUCAAUAGGGAAUUCAACUCCAGAAAACUCGAGAGUGCAACCCCGAUAAACAUCGGUGACAUAAAUAGUGCGGUUGUCGGCAACUUCGACAACCAUUAGGCGAGCCAAUUUUCCGAUACUAUGCCCCAAACGAUUAAUAAACGUGCGGGAUACAAAAGAAUGGGUAGCACCACUAUCAAACAUAACAACAGCGGGCUCGGAAUCUAGCAAAUAAGUGCCUGAUUCACCACAUACAAUCAUGUAAACAGUUCUAACUACCAUUUAUUAAAUAAUUCCAGGAGAGAAAAAAAAAAAAAAGAAAUUUACCUGCCACUGUCGCGGUAAUCACCGGCUCAUCCGCAGUCAUCUGGUGAGCACGACCUCGUGUCACCAUAGUGGGUCCCUUAGAAGACGAUGCAAUUGCAGGAUUUGUACCCCCGCUUCCUUUACCAGCCUUCAACUUCGGACAUUCGGGCUUCUUGUGUCCCGUCUCGUUGCAGUGAUAGCAGACGGGAGCAGCAGAAGUAAUCUGAGGAACUGCACUCGCAGGGGGAGCCCUACAAUUCUUCCAAUGAUGCCCUGGCUUUUUACAGUUGUAGCAUAUCAACGGAUUUUUCUCGCCCUGACUUGAAGACGGCCUGUACUCAUACCUUGACUUACCACCCUGCUUUUGCUUUUUCUGGGCAUCUCCGGAUGUCUUGGAGGAGGUGUCAUUGGCCUUCCUCUUGGUCUGGGUCUGCAACUCGAUUUCCCUCCUCCUCGCUGCAUCCAUGAUCGCGGAUAAAGUCGGGAACUCCUGCAUGCUAACGAAUUCCCGAAUCUCGGUACGUAGAAUGGUAGUGUAUUGGCUGACCAACCAGGCCUCAUUCCCAGCAAAUGAGGGACAAAAAGAUAGCAUCUCCAAGAACUUGGCGUUCAAGUCGCUAACAGACUCGGUAGUUUGCUGUAAGGCCAUGAACUCUUGCUGCAUCCGCUGCUGCUCCACCUUGGGCACAUAUUGUGCCUCGAACCUCUCCACAAAUUGGGCCCAAGACAUGGCCCUCACUUCUUCCUCGUUUAAUAGAGCGGUGAUGGUGUUCCACCAUGUCUUUCCCCUUUUUCGCAGCUGAUUCAUGGCGAUCACAACUUUGUACUGGUCCGGACACCCAACAGUCAUGAAGGCGCCCUCAACAUCUGACACCCAAUGCUUAGCAGCAACUGGGUCGGAUUCACCAUUCCAAAGAGGAGGGCUACACUUGUUGAACUUCUCGAAGUAGUAUGCCGAAUCCCGAACGGGCGGAGCCGAUAACGCUCCCCCGGGAAUAGCUGCGAGGCGCUCAUCCAGAAGAGCUUUGACCUGGUUGAUUAUGUCAUUGGUCACGCCCGGGAUUAGUUCAUUGAAAGCGUUAUUGAAUUCCUCAGCGACAAUAUUCCUAACUUGCUCCAUUUGGAGCUGAUUAAGGCGAGCAGGCGGAGCCAUCUGUAUCCGUAGAAGGAGGAAAAUAUUUAGAAAUAAUUCAGCCUAGAUAUUUCUAGGAAGACGAAACACUCAGCUUGCCGAAAAUUUCUCAACCUUGCCCCGACCCGAAACCGGCACCGAUGUUUCAAAUAGUAGGGGCCCUUCUACUAUCUUCCACACAAGUUCCAAUUUCGCAAUCGCGUCUAGUUUCAAAAUUUCCAGCUCGCUCUAGCCGUUAAUUUUACAUCUCUCUCACAUGUUAACAUUAAAUAAGUGUGUAAUCUAGCAUUUUAAGACUAGUAGAAUCCAAUUCAUAGUCAACAAUUUAACAUAAACAUUUAACAUAAGAAAUAAGGCUUACUUGGCUGGCCGACUGGCACACCGCGACAUCUUUCACUACUAGUCUUCAGAAAAUUUGAAAAAUCUUUUAAAAAGAGAAUAAACUAUUAUAGAGCCUCAAAUUUGAGUCUAGAACAUCCACAAGAAUGCCUAGUUCCCUCAAACUGUGGCUCUGAUACCAACUUGUGACACCCAAUUUUUUUUUUGCAAAAAUUUUAAACUUUUAAAACCCAUCUUAAAUUAAAUUAAAACAACUGAAAUAGUCAUAACAUAAUCCAUCAACUUAAUAAUCAUAUAAAAUAAGUGCGGAAGUAAUAAUAAUAAUAAGGUCCCAACAAAAUAACUAGUAGCGAUGUCCCGAUGCUCCAUGUCAAGCCUUAGCCUCUUUAAUCUUAACACCUGAAAAGUUAUAAGGGAAAAACGUAAGCACGAAGCUUAGUGAAUUCAAACACAGACAUUGUACUAACAUUCAUAUUUACUAGCCCUAAUCCAUUUUCCAAUUAUAAUGAUAAAGACAAAGAACGAAUCAAUGUCUAUAUUACGAGAAGGACUUGUAGGUUUGAACCGCACCGGGAAGAUCCCGUAUCAUUUGGCCCUAAUCACCGCACCUCACGAAGAGUAUUACGUUGGUGAUCUUACCUACCCACCGCACCGGUAAAUCCGUAUCCUUUGGUGGUGUCCCCAUAUCCAUAAUUAGUUACAUACAGUGCACAUGUACGAAUUAAAACAAUACUUAUAUAGCAUGCUUUUAUAAUAAAUUCAAAUAAUCACACACGAGCUAACUAGCAAACACAAUCAUCAAUACAACGGUGUGAGAGAACUCACCUUGAGUGAGUAUUAAGGAUGGCUAACAAUCAAAUAAUGCUACCAAGCUUGAGCAAACUUCAAAACCUCGCCUAAGAAGGACUAAAGGUUAGAAACGAGAAGUAAUGAAGCUAUGAGUUGAGAAAAGAGUAAUCACAGCAAGGUCUCUAAAACAGACCUGCUGUUCAAAACGGAUUUACUCCAAAAUCUAAAACAGAAACAUAGCUUUAACUAAAUUUUAUAGGAAACUAUGAUUGCUCAGGAUUCCAUAACUAUAAAGAACUCAUUCUAACUCCAAAAGAUGAAUUAAAUAUGAAUUUUACAAAAUGGUGUAUCACUUCUGUCUCCAACAAUACAGUCAAGUGAUGUUGGCCAAUUCUACCCAACUUGUGAGUAGAAUUCGUCCAA